AAAUAACUUAGUUUUAAUUAUAAUACUAGAAUUAAUUUUAAUACGCAUGAAAUUUAAAAUAAAUUAAACAUUUUCAGUGUAAAAUAUUUUUAAUAAAUAAAGUUUAUAAAAGUAAAAUAAUACAUUUAUCGAUAAAUAAUUGUGCCAGCAAUCGCGGUUAUACAAUAGAUAAAUUAGUAAGAUUGGAAAUAACUGUAGUUAAUUAUCUCUUGAAAGAGAUUAAACAAUUUUUUAUUAGGUAUAAUUUUAAUAAAUUAAAAAUCUCAUCCUUUAAGAAGCUACAAAACCUUUUUUAAAAACUAGGAUUUGAUACCCUAUUAUUUAGAUAAAAUAAAAAAUCCAGAGUAUUAACAGAAAUAAAACUCUAAACUCAAAAAACGUGGCAGUAUAAUAAUUUAUUAGAGAUACUUGUUUUGUUAAAACGAAUUUACACGAAAACCUUACUUAAAAACUAUUAGACCUUCAUACCUCCGCUUUUAGGAUAUUUUAAUAACUAUAUCUUCAUUAGUUUAAACUUAAAAUACAGGUCAAGGCGUAGUCUAUUUUUAAGACAAAAUGAGUAUCAUUGAAAUUAAUGGAAUUAAUUUUGUACUUAAAAGUACAAAAUAAAGAGAAUUUAAAAGUAAAUUUUAUUUAUUAAAUAAUUUUAAAUAUACUAUAUUAUAUGUACAAAUCGCCCGUCACUCUCGAUUAACUAAAGUUGAGAUAAGUCGUAACAAAGUAAGUGUAUUGGAAAAUGCCCUUAAUUUAUU
This 752-nucleotide non-coding RNA is filed under the name Holarthrothrips indicus. Lineage: Eukaryota; Metazoa; Arthropoda; Insecta; Thysanoptera; Stenurothripidae. The record is from RNAcentral.